RNAcentral lists this ribosomal RNA (1565 nucleotides) under Hippopotamus amphibius (hippopotamus). RNAcentral describes it as "16S rRNA". It matches the Rfam family "Bacterial large subunit ribosomal RNA", at positions 396 to 2925 of the family's 2925-position model. Lineage: Eukaryota; Metazoa; Chordata; Mammalia; Artiodactyla; Hippopotamidae. The record is from RNAcentral.
ACUAAAGCUAGCCCAACUACCCCACCCCACUAUAAAUAAGAUAAAGCAUUUAACCACCAACUUAAAGUAUAGGAGAUAGAAAUCUGAAACCAUUUGGCGCAAUAGAGAUAGUACCGUAAGGGAAUGAUGAAAGAAGCAACAAAAGUAUCAAAAAGCAAAGAUCACACCUUGUACCUUUCGCAUAAUGAUUUAACUAGCAAAACCUUAGCAAAGAGAACUUAAGCUAAGCCACCCGAAACCAGACGAGCUACUUAUGAACAGUUUACCAGAACAAACUCAUCUAUGUGGCAAAAUAGUGAAAAGAUUUAUAAGUAGAGGUGAAAAGCCUAACGAGCCUGGUGAUAGCUGGUUGUCCAGAAAAAGAAUCUAAGUUCAAUUUCAAAAUUACCAAAAGCCCAAAUCAAGCCUAAUGUAAUUUUAAAAUUUAGUCUAAAAAGGUACAGCUUUUUAGACAAAGGAUACAACCUUGACUAGUGAGUAAAUUCAAACAACACCAUAGUUGGCCUAAAAGCAGCCACCAAUUAAGAUAGCGUUCAAGCUCGACAAUAAGCACAACCUAAUUCCCAUAUCAAGCAAACAACUCCUAGCCUAACUACUGGACUAUUCUAUUCAAACAUAGAAGCAAUACUGUUAAUAUGAGUAACAAGAAACAAUUCUCCCAGCACAAGCCUACGUCAGCAACUGAUAAUAUACUGACAGUUAACAACAAGUAAAUAUAACCUAACACUAAAACAUUUACCCCAUACACUGUUAACCCAACACAGGCGUGCACCCAAGGAAAGAUUAAAAAAAGCAAAAGGAACUCGGCAAACACAAACCCCGCCUGUUUACCAAAAACAUCACCUCUAGCAUCACUAGUAUUAGAGGCACUGCCUGCCCAGUGACAACUGUUAAACGGCCGCGGUAUCCUGACCGUGCAAAGGUAGCAUAAUCAUUUGUUCCUUAAAUAGGGACUUGUAUGAAUGGCCACACGAGGGUUUUACUGUCUCUUGCUUUCAAUCAGUGAAAUUGACCUUCCCGUGAAGAGGCGGGAAUAAUACAAUAAGACGAGAAGACCCUGUGGAGCUUCAAUUAGCUGACUCAAUAAAAACAAAAUAAACCCGCAAGGCACAAUAAAAUCCUAUAUGAGUCAGUAAUUUUGGUUGGGGUGACCUCGGAGAAAAAAGAAUCCUCCGAGUGAUAAAAAUCUAGACUCACCAGUCAAAACAUAACAACACUCAUUGACCCAAAACCUUUGAUCAACGGAACAAGUUACCCCAGGGAUAACAGCGCAAUCCUAUUCUAGAGUCCAUAUCGACAAUAGGGUUUACGACCUCGAUGUUGGAUCAGGACAUCCCAAUGGUGCAGCCGCUAUUAAAGGUUCGUUUGUUCAACGAUUAAAGUCCUACGUGAUCUGAGUUCAGACCGGAGCAAUCCAGGUCAGUUUCUAUCUAUUAUACAUUUCUCCCAGUACGAAAGGACAAGAGAAAUGAGGCCUACUUCCAAUAAGCGCCUUAAAACUAAUUAAUGAUAUAGUCUUAACUUAAUUAAAUAGUAUAAAUAUACCAGCCCUAGACCAGGGCACA